This is an RNA transcript of Salvia splendens (bonfire salvia), 2771 nucleotides long. It is a transcript of the gene named ABC transporter I family member 11, chloroplastic, with no coding region annotated. The transcript has 15 exons. The record is from RefSeq and is a predicted model, not a curated record. NCBI's taxonomy places the organism in Eukaryota, Viridiplantae, Streptophyta, Magnoliopsida, Lamiales, Lamiaceae.
CCAAUAGCCCGUUAGGACCAGGCCAGAAAUGAUUCUUGUAUUGAAUUCCGCUUCUCCCCCAAUUUCUUUUCUUCGAAGAAAUUUUCAUUUGUGCAAAAAACCCUAGAAAUCUAAUUAAUUGGUUUAUGAUAUCACGAAACGAUCAGUCUUGAUCUCCAUUCAGUGGAAUUAAUCGUAUUGGAAAGAAAAAUGGCGUUGACUAAUUUCAUACUUACUGUGGCCGGAGUGAGCGCCGUCGUGCUGCUGCUGCGGAGCGAUGUGAAGCAGUCCGCCACCAUCUUCCGCCGAAACGUCCGCCAAAUCCGCAGCUGGCUCGAGGAGGAAUCCGCCUCCGCCGCUAAGGAAAUAGAGAAGAAGGCAAAACCCAAGGAAAUUUCAGAGAAAGAUAUCCCCAAGAAAGACUAAGCGUUAGGUUCAAUUUACGUCUAGCACAGGUCGAUCAAUUCUACCGUUGGUUCGUGAGCACCUUCGGGAAAUUUCGUAAAUCGUCCUCCGCUCCCUUGGUAGCUUUGUCUCUGGACUAAAUCUUCUCUUGCUAUUGUGCGACUUCCACAGCCCAAAUUAAAAAUGCCUAUUCCAACGAAGCGGUGACGACUGACGACCUUCUUUGGUCAACUAGUUUCGACCCUAUGAGUUUUGUUUUCUGAAUCCGAUACUAGAGAAUGAGUGUGAUCUACAAAGUUAAUAAUAGUAGUAACAUUUAUUUAAAUUUCUACAAAUACAAUAUUUUGACAAUUUUAAUUUUUAGAAAUUGGUUUCUAAUAUCAUAAAUUUUGCACAAAUUCUGAUUUUUUCCAUAAACUUUAAAGUUUGUGCCGUAAAUUAUGAAUUUUGCACAUAUUUUGUAUUUCCCCGACCCGACCCGAAUUCUAAUUUUCAGAGAAACAUUGUUCCAAGUUGGUGUAUGUAUAAGCAGGAAUCGUGAUUUUCUUCCUCUAAUUCACCUUUCACAAUUAACACCUCUUGUUUUCGCACUGUAAUUGCUCCCUCUCAAUUGCGAAUUUAUUCAGGGAUUGUCGUUGAUUUCUAACUCCGUUCAGCUCUCUAAUGGAGAGCGUACGAAUUUCCUCGUCGUCUCUGCUUGCUUCGAAACCGCCGAUUAACAGUUCUUCAACUGCGUUCUCCCCUCGACAUUUCUACAGCUUAAAUUCGAAAAGAAUUGGUGCGUGCAGAAUUGCAUGUGAUCAUUCCUGCUUCGAAAUAAAGAGCGUCACUUAUCGACCUCCGGGAACUGAGGUUGAUCUUUUGAAUGGAGUCAGCUUCUCCUUACCUGAGAAAAGUUUUGGUCUGAUAUUUGGACGAAGUGGAAGUGGGAAAACAACACUUUUGCAGCUGAUUGCAGGACUAAGUAAACCAACAUCAGGCUCAAUCUAUGUUCAAAGAUAUGGUGAAGAUGGUAAUCCAAAUCAAUGUCCCACACUGUUGCAACCCAGAAGAGUUGGUAUUGUUUUCCAGUUUCCGGAAAGGUUUUUCAUUGCAGACAAUAUUCUUGAUGAAAUUAUAUUUGGGUGGCCAAGACAAAGAGCUGGCCUGCAAUUGAGAGAGAUUCUUGCUUCAAGGCUCCAAAAAGCUAUGACCUCGGUUGGGCUAACUGGAAUCCCUUUGGACAAAGAUCCCCAAUCACUGAGUGGUGGAUACAAACGUCGGCUUGCUCUAGCAAUUCAGUUGGUUCAAACCCCAGACCUAUUAGUACUGGAUGAGCCUCUUGCUGGUCUAGAUUGGAAGGCCCGUGCAGAUGUGGUUAAAUUGUUGAGAGACCUGAAGAAGGAGCUGGCGUUGCUUGUUGUCAGCCAUGACCUUAAAGAGUUGGCACCUCUAGUAGAUCAGUCAUGGAGGAUGGAAAUGGGUGGAAUACUGAAGAGAGAAUGCCUGCCUAUUUAAUUUUGUGUCGUCACCUUCUAAUCAACUAAUGUUGCUGUAAUUAAGGGACAAGAACAGAAGCAUCCAGUAGUAAUUCCUGGCCACAUGAAUAUUGCUAAAGAGGUUAUUUAAGAAGUCCAUUUGGCAAUUACAUGCUGAAGAGAGAGUGGCACGCUAGACAGCUGUGUGAAUGUAAACUACUGUUCUGUUCCAUCAAAAAAAAUAUUUUUCAGCUGAUAACCACAACCAUGCACUGCCCAUGCUCAAUGUAUAAAGGUUUGCUGUACCUCAUCCAUUCAAGCGUCAACACUUGAAAUAUUUGGCUUAAUGCUCACUUCUGUCACAUUGUGCCUGCUAGGUGUAUCCUAGUUUCGCUCAGAUAAUCCUAGUUACCGAGCUAGGUGUAUGACAGGUAGAGUAAUCGAGAAAAAUUCCACCAUGCAAGUUCAAUAUAAUAUUGUCAGCCGCAACAGCAACUUGCUAUAGGCGGAUAGUGACUCCACAGGUUGGUAGAAAAAAAGUCGAUUCAUGCGUUCCCCAACGUGUUUCUGUCUGGUAUACGUGUUAUAGGUCCAUUAUUGUAGUUAUGGAACUGGUGAGACAAAUAUUAGCUGAAUUAAGCAGGCAUGGAAGACUCUCGUUUUCAGCUACACUACAAAAGGGUAACAAACAUAAAAUGUUGCCUUUUUUGGUUGGACAGGAAUGAGUAGGAGUAGAGGGCUAGGGGGUGAAAUGAUGAACAAAUCCCUACAAACACUAGCCUCCACCUUUGCUAGAAUUCUGUACUCACAUGAACUUAGCGAUAAUAAGAGAGUUGUGGCUGUGGCUCCCACAUUGUGUUGCUAGUAUUGAUUUUCUAUUAGAUUAUGAUGCACUUAUCUCUUUCAAGUCUGAUAAUUUUGUGUGGUUAA